CUCCCCGUGGCGCAAUGGUAGCGCGCAAGACUGUGAGUAUCCACCCUCAAAGAAUGUGAUCAUGACAUGCACUAACACCUCCCAGUCUAAUCUUGAGGCUGCGGGUUCGAGCCCCGCCGGGGAGU
This is a non-coding RNA of Plectosphaerella cucumerina, 125 nucleotides long. The record is from the annotation of a GenBank genome assembly. NCBI's taxonomy places the organism in Eukaryota, Fungi, Ascomycota, Sordariomycetes, Glomerellales, Plectosphaerellaceae.